This is a long non-coding RNA of Oreochromis niloticus (Nile tilapia), 4018 nucleotides long. RefSeq lists it as uncharacterized. NCBI's taxonomy places the organism in Eukaryota, Metazoa, Chordata, Actinopteri, Cichliformes, Cichlidae. The record is from RefSeq and is a predicted model, not a curated record. The transcript is spliced from 3 exons.
CUUGGGUCAUGUUGGCUGGGGUACAAUGCUGCCUCUAUGAAUCUGGUCCUUAGGGCCUGUUAUGCUCCCAUGAUCAGACCCUCUGUGUUCUUUAGUGCUGGAAUUUUCUAGCAACUGUUAGGAUUUCUCGAUGUCAGCUCUUUCUGUCAGUGCUACAUCCCAUGUACUGGUUUGGUUGUCCAUGAUAGCUCCUCCUCCUAGUCAUCAUCACCAUCUGUCUUCAGCUGCCUGAGGCAUUUUUUGAGCAGCUCAUCUCAGUGGGACAUCUUCCUGAGGUAUUCAUGGAUGCUCUGUGUUUCAUCCUGCAUUGUGGGACUCUGUCAUGCAUUAAUCCUAACCCAACCUCCUUCCAUUGCUCAUAGAGCUUCAGGGUGCUGGACCUUGGGUGAAGACCAUCGUGUAUUGUGAGGAGUUUUUGUGUCUUGACACCAGUGACAUCCAACUCCUCCUGUGGUCAGCUUAUUAUUUCAGCUGGGUAUUAUAUAACCGGUAGGACCUAUGUAUUUAGGGCUUGGAUCUUAUUCCUACCAUUUAGCUGGCUUCUCAGAACCUUUCUUGUCUUCUGUAAGUAUGUUCAUCUUUGCCACAUUUGCUGCUUGCCUGCCAGAUAUCCAGGUACGUGUAGCUGUCUUGCAGAUGUGAUAUUCAGCUUUCUAGCAACUUUACCCCUGCCGUCUUGAUCAUCUUUCCCCUCUUUCAACUGUUUGACCACAGAAGAGUGAGUUCUAGGAACAGCUAAGAUACAGUGCAAGACCCUAAGCUCCCAGGCUUCUGGUAGAGGACCCAAGCUUUAAGGACAAACAAAGACCACCCGCAGGGCUGAAAAGCAAUGACAAAGUGUCUUGAAAAUCUGAUGGAAGGCUGAGACAAGACGGGCAUGUUUUUCUGCUACUCUAGUUUUGUGUAAUGUUAAGAUAUCCGCAUAGAUUAUCAUGCAUGUCGCAUGCUCCCCCCAAUACUAAAAUAGCACUGUAUAUGGCAGAUUACCUUCCACAUUUGGUGCUAAUCCCUCUCUGACUACCAUUGCUGCUUCAUAAAUACAGACUAAUCCAAUAAACGCUAACUGAAUGACCACAAAUUGAAGGAUGCAUUUCGAAUAAUUAGAGUAAAACUGUGUUCUUUUGUGCUACUGGUUAAUUUUAUAACAAAUGCACUGCAGCUACUUUUUUGUAUCAAGCAAGAUCAAAAACUAUUCUACACUCAGGUCUUUUUUGUGUGCCUAUGUUUGUUGUCAUGCACAUUUAGAAAUUAAGAUCUAGGAAGCCAUGUACUUCAUCUUACUUUGUAUCUGAAAUUAGCCAUUGCAUUUGAUUUAUUUUGCUUUAUAAUCCCCAAACUGGAAAACUACUGAGCUCCCUCAAGGGCACAACACCCUGAAAACCUUUGAGCUCAGUUCCAUUGUAAAGGUACAACACUUUUCAAACUUUAAUUCUAGCCUCGGCUAGGGACUCAACAGUUAAAUCACAAGUCUCUAAACCACGGUGUCUUUUGAUUGAAACGGGUUGUUUCCAAAUGAGAGUGGAGAGCAGUUUUCCCUCCAUCCGUCUUGUCCAUCCAUCUUCGUUACAAAAGGCUCUCUUGUCUCUCUGGCGUCCCCCACCCUGACACUACUCCACUCCUGAAACCAGCUAGUAUUAAGACUGACUCUUCAAUCCCAGACAAUCGAUGCCGUCACUUACCAACCGAGUCACACCACUGAUUACCGCGUCCCUCAAUUUACACUGCUGGUGGUGAAAGGUGGAAGGGUGUGUGUGUGUGUGUGUGUGUGUGUGUGUGUGUGUGCUGCUAUAUGAGGUGGACUCCCUGCUGGGCUGGUGUGCGCAUAAUAAGACUCUGCUGCCUUCAGGUGUAGAUGUUUGAGAGGAAAUAACUUCAUUGCUUAUAGUAGAUGCAAUGAAUGUUUUUUCUAAAUCAUUUUAUCCUUAGAUGACUUGGAAAAUAACACUGCCAGGAGGGCUCUGCAGUCUGCUUUUUCACAAAGCAGCUGACACCGUGUGAGCAGAUGUUGCAUCGCGGCGACAGAAAGCAUGUUGAUCAGUCUCCCGCUUGCUCGUAAUUAUGAAUACACGAGCUUCUAUGCUUGCAAACUCAAGAGUCACACCAUUUGAAUAUGUGUAUUUACUUUAUGACAUCACUCUGCAUUGACUUCCAGAAAAUUACACUUCCAGCAGAGUCUCCAGGUCACACACACUUGGACCAUUACCUGCUGCAGCUGAAAGAAAAUCAAACAAAAUUUUCCUCAAAAUAACAUUUUCUUCUUACUGCACUUUAAAAAGAGAAAACAGGAAGUUUCAAGACAAAGCAAAGCCUUUUUUCUGUCAGCUCACAUGUUAGAUUACAGAACAAAGUACAGAAAAAAUCUAUCUAUCUAUCUCUCUCUCUCUCUCUCUCUCUCUCUCUCUCUCUCUCUCUCUAUCUAUCUCCGUCACCACAUGCUUUCUUCUUGUCUGGGCCCAUCUUCAUCAGCCGUCUUAAUGAGUUCCAUUGGAACUCAUUUGAGUCUGUGAUUAGAUUCCUGCUAAUAAAUUAUGUGUGUUCUCAGCAGGUUGCUAUCUCUGUGUCGGCUACCACUCAGUGUGUGUCUUCAUGUGUAAAUGUGUGUGUUGGAAUGGGAUGGGACGGAACAGAAUCAAAACCUACUGAAUACUAAUGUUCACUGUCUUCUAAUCAUUUCAUGUAAAUUGCACAUUUUUGAAUAUGUCUGUGUGUGUGUGUGUGUGUGUGUGUGUGUGUGUGUGUGUGAUGUCUGAUAGCUACCAGAUAACAGAUACAGGACAUCUUGUGUCCUCCUGAUGCAUAAAAUGUUAAUAAUCGUAAUCUAAUAAUCAUUAAAAAUGCGGACCACCUAUUAACUACUAAUGAACCAAUGAAGGCAAAAUGUAGUAAAGGCAUAAUGGAUUCUUUUCUGUUGGCAGCUGAUACUAAUUUUAAUGACAAGGUGAAAUUUCAUCCCCCAUACGCGAAGGCUAAAGGGUUGGCAUUAUGCAAAUCUUUUUAUUACUGUAUAAACCCAUCAUGUAACCAGUAGUUUAACAUCAAAUAGGUUUUACAGUCUGGCAGUCUGUCUGAAGUAUUGUGGUGAGCCAGAAGUCUGGUUGUGGCUCAGAAACUUCACACUCUUCCCAUCCACUGCACUGAUACAGCGAAAUGAGGUGUUGCACAAAUGUGGGGCAAGCUGCUCGCUGACUUAAUCACUGCUGUUUUCAUCUGGCUUAUUUUGGCGAUUUCUGUUUAGUGGUUGGUCAUAUUAGAGAAGAAGUAGCCAUCCAGAUAAAAUUGUUUAUGUCUGAAUGCUUCCAUUUUACUGGACAAGAGUUAUUUUUUGCUUGUAUUGUUUGCCAUACCAUAUAACCAAUGGACCAGGAGGUCACUGAUUCAGGAGGUAAAGACUGAGUCACAGUACCACUAAAGACUCUACAGAGAGUGAUAGUUACAAAGAGUAAUAGUUAUUUUUGUGAAGAAAAGUGAAGUGAGCGGUAGGAGUGUAAUGACACGAGGCUGGAUGAGUGUGUUACGUGCCAAGAGAUGUGGCUUUGCUUUUGUGUUCUUUUUAUCUUUCAGGUGUCAAGCCUCCACCCAUUGGCCAGUUCAAAGUUGGUUGGCAUGUGUCUAUUGGCUGGUCUGGGCACCGGGCACUACAAAUGAGCAGCUCCCUGGCCAGCUGGUCGCUGCUGCCUUCUGUCUUAUGACAAACAUUUGUGUGAAGGCUUCUGUGUAUUUUGAGAGUGUGUGGUGGGAGGCUGGGCAGAAGUUUUAAGGUAGAGGAAUGUUCCAGCAUGAUAAUGAUCCAAAAGCACACUGCAAAAGAUCCCACAAGACUUGAAACCUAUGUAUGACCUGCCCGAGUUUCAGCAUGAUAUAAAUCCAGUAGUGCAUACGAAUGCAGAAAUGCAGCACUGGGACCAGGAUGCUCAAGGCUGGGACCCGUUUUCAUUGAAACAUCAAAGAAACAUUAAAGAAAGACAGACUCUCUCUCUCUCUCUCUCUCUCUCUCUCUCUCUCUCACACACACACACAC